GAAAUGCGAUAAGUAGUGUGAAUUGCAGAAUUCAGUGAAUCAUCGAAUCUUUGAACGCACAUUGCGCCCUUUGGUAUUCCUUAGGGCAUGCCUGUUCGAGCGUCAUCUAAACCCUCAAGCCCUGCUUGGUGUUGGGUGCCUGUCCCGCCCCCGUGCGCGGACUCACCUCAAAUCCAUUGGCGGCCCUCGUGCCGGCCCCGAGCGCAGCAGAAACGCGGUCUCGUGGCCCAGCGGAGCGUGCCCCCAGAAGCAACAUUCACCGUUUUGACCUCGGAUCAGGUAGGGAUACCCGCUGAACUUAAGC
This 304-nucleotide unclassified non-coding RNA is filed under the name plant metagenome. RNAcentral describes it as "partial contains 5.8S ribosomal RNA, internal transcribed spacer 2, and large subunit ribosomal RNA". The stretch from base 1 to 105 matches the Rfam family "5.8S ribosomal RNA", at positions 50 to 154 of the family's 154-position model. The record is from RNAcentral.